This is a small nuclear RNA of Jaculus jaculus (lesser Egyptian jerboa), 106 nucleotides long. NCBI's taxonomy places the organism in Eukaryota, Metazoa, Chordata, Mammalia, Rodentia, Dipodidae. The record is from Ensembl.
GUGCUUGCUUUGGCAGCACAUAUACUAAAACUGGAAUGAUACAGAAAAGUUUAGCAUGGCCCUGCACAAGGAUGACAUGCAAAUUCAUGAAGCAUUCCAUAAAAAG